Molecule: transfer-messenger RNA, 407 nt
Filed under: Candidatus Peribacteria bacterium RIFCSPHIGHO2_01_FULL_49_38
Lineage: Bacteria; Candidatus Peregrinibacteriota; Candidatus Peribacteria
Also listed under: 2 other names
Rfam family: transfer-messenger RNA
About the family: Bacterial tmRNA, also known as 10Sa RNA or SsrA, is named for its dual tRNA and mRNA-like properties. Its role is to liberate the mRNA from a stalled ribosome.
Source: RNAcentral
GGGGAUGACAGGCUUCGACAGUGUGAUUCUGUAUGCGUCUGCUUCUGUUCGGGAUGGUAACGGUUCCCGAUACCCACUGUUACAACGAACAAUUGCAACAGCAAAAGUUCCCGCUAUCUUCAAGGACGCAUUUGCAAACUUCCGCACUCCGGAAUUUGCUCCUGCCCUUGCAGUGGCAUAAGUCCGCCUUUUGCGCGGACACGUUCCUCCUCCGAUCCUCACUACGAGGAUGGGGCGUCAUUCGUGAGGUGAUCCCACAGUUGAUGCGAUCUGGGAUGACAUUGAGCAUCAAUCCUCUUUUGCUUUCUUCGUCCGCUUCUAAGGCAAAAGCGAUCUGAAAUGGACACGACAGUACGAGCACCGUAUACACACAUUGGACGCGGGUUCAACUCCCGCCAUCUCCACCA